This 443-nucleotide ribosomal RNA is filed under the name uncultured bacterium. RNAcentral's name for it is "partial 16S ribosomal RNA". It matches the Rfam family "Bacterial small subunit ribosomal RNA", at positions 338 to 795 of the family's 1533-position model. The record is from RNAcentral.
CCUACGGGAGGCAGCAGUUAGGAAUAUUGGGCAAUGGAGGAAACUCUGACCCAGCAACGCCGCGUGAAGGAAGAAGGUUUUCGGAUUGUAAACUUCUGAUCUGUGGGACGAAGAAAGUGACGGUACCCCAGGAGAAAGCCACGGUUAACUACGUGCCACCAGCCGCGGUAAUACGUAGGUGGCGGUCGUUGUCCGGAUUAACUGGGGGUAAAGGGAGCGUAGGUGGUUGGUUAAGUUAAAUGUGAAAGCCCAGGGCUCAACUCUGGAACUGCAUUUAACACUGGUCGGCUAGAGUACAGGAGAGGUAAACGGAAUUUCUAGUGUAGCGGUGAAAUGCGUAGAUAGUAGGAAGAACACCGGAGGCGAAGGCGGUUUACUGGACUGCAACUGACGCUGAGGCUCGAAAGCGUGGGGAGCAAACAGGAUUAGAUACCCCUGUAGUC